Molecule: ribosomal RNA, 438 nt
Filed under: uncultured Oscillospiraceae bacterium
Lineage: Bacteria; Bacillati; Bacillota; Clostridia; Eubacteriales; Oscillospiraceae
Description: bacterial SSU rRNA
Rfam family: Bacterial small subunit ribosomal RNA
Source: RNAcentral
ACGGAAGGCAGCAGUGGGGAAUAUUGGGCAAUGGGCGAAAGCCUGACCCAGCAACGCCGCGUGAGGGAAGAAGGUUUUCGGAUUGUAAACCUCUGUCCUUGGUGAAGAAGAAAGUGACGGUAACCGGGAUAGGAAGCCACGGCUAACUACGUGCCAGCAGCCGCGGUAAUACGUAGGUGGCGAGCGUUGUCCGGAUUUACUGGGUGUAAAGGGAGCGCAGGCGGGACAGCAAGUUGGAUGUGAAAUACCGAGGCUUAACCUCGGAGCUGCAUCCAAAACUGCCGUUCUUGAGUGAAGUAGAGGUAGGCGGAAUUCCGAGUGUAGCGGUGAAAUGCGUAGAUAUUCGGAGGAACACCGGUGGCGAAGGCGGCCUACUGGGCUUUAACUGACGCUGAGGCUCGAAAGUGUGGGGAGCAAACAGGAUUAGAUACCCUGGUA